CUUUCUUUUGCCUGCUGAGAGCUAAUGUGUCCUCACACUCCAAAGAGAGAGCAAGCAAGCUCUUUAGUGUCUCUUCUUGUAAGAGCGCUAAUUCUAUCAUGAAAGUUCCACCCUUGUGACCUCAUCUAAACCUAAUUACUUCUGAAAGAUUCCAUCUGUAAAUACCAUCGCGCUGGGGGUUAGGGCUUCAACAUAUGAAUAUUGCGGGGACACAGACAUUCAAUCCAUAAUAGCAAGUUUCAGUGGAUUUCAGAAGCCCCUAAGGCAGAAAAGCAAAAGCACCUUAUUUUUUGUCCACUUGACCUGUGUCUUAUGUUGGACUGAAAUGUAGCUGAAAUACAACAUCAUAAUUUUUACUGGAAAAUAGCCACAAUGAAGGAACACCACAAUUUCACCAUGAAAACCAGCACAACCUUACACAGAUGACAAACAUUUCCCCUCAAAACUUGUUAAACUGUAUUUGGGCUGACCAAAUUAACCAGAGUUAUUCUAUUUAUGGGGGAGCAGGAAGUAACUUGAUAAAAUGCUUUGAGUUUAUAUAUCAUGUCAAAUAAAUAGCAUAAUUUUAAAGGAAAAAAA
Molecule: long non-coding RNA, 579 nt
Filed under: Homo sapiens (human)
Lineage: Eukaryota; Metazoa; Chordata; Mammalia; Primates; Hominidae
Description: HSALNT0343371
Source: RNAcentral